UUUUCUCUCUUGGAUUCCCUUAUUUUAUUUUCCUUUUUCUCCUGGCUGCCUCGCUGCCCUCAAUUCUGUCGGUCUUCACAGCUUUCCACCUGCAAGGGCCCGCAUCAAUCCCUUCUAUCUCUCCUCUUGUUCCAAAAUUAUUCCCCCAGCUGUCUCCCUAUUUUUCUUUUCUGACCUUUUACUUUUCUUCCGCUGGCAGCCUACCUUCUUGGAUUCUCCUUUCACAAUAAAUACAAAUUUGAUUUGUAUCAUAAACUCUAAAUUAGUAGCAGUUUGGGAAUUAAGAACAAAUUCAAGUAACAAAUCCAAAAUCAAUAUUCUAUGAAACAAUCAAUUCAAUGCAUAUAAAAUAAACCAAAAUAAAACCCAAU
This 371-nucleotide long non-coding RNA is filed under the name Malus domestica (apple). RNAcentral's name for it is "long non-coding RNA (MDOM_LNC001969)". Lineage: Eukaryota; Viridiplantae; Streptophyta; Magnoliopsida; Rosales; Rosaceae. The record is from RNAcentral.